AGAGUUUGAUCCUGGCUCAGAACGAACGCUGGCGGCGUGCCUAACACAUGCAAGUCGAACGGGGAUAGAUAGCUUGCUAUUUAUUCUAGUGGCGCACGGGUGAGUAACGCGUAGAUAAUCUGCCUUGGACUCUGGGAUAACAUUUCGAAAGGGGUGCUAAUACCGGAUAAGCCCACGGGGACGUAAGUUCUUGCGGGAAAAGGGGGCCUCUGCAUAUGCUCUUGAUCCAAGAUGAGUCUGCGUACCAUUAGCUAGUUGGUAGGGUAAGAGCCUACCAAGGCGACGAUGGUUAGCUGGUCUGAGAGGAUGAUCAGCCACACUGGAACUGAGACACGGUCCAGACUCCUACGGGAGGCAGCAGUGGGGAAUUUUGCGCAAUGGGGGAAACCCUGACGCAGCAACGCCGCGUGAGUGAUGAAGGCUUUCGGGUCGUAAAGCUCUGUCUAGAGGGAAGAAAUGAUAUUGGGUUAAUACCCUGAUUUCUUGACGGUACCUCUGAAGGAAGCACCGGCUAACUCCGUGCCAGCAGCCGCGGUAAUACGGAGGGUGCAAGCGUUGUUCGGAAUUAUUGGGCGUAAAGCGCGUGUAGGCGGUUUGUUAAGUCUGAUGUGAAAGCCCCGGGCUCAACCUGGGAAGUGCGUUGGAAACUGUCAGACUUGAAUACGGGAGAGGGUAGUGGAAUUCCUAGUG
Molecule: ribosomal RNA, 690 nt
Filed under: uncultured Geobacter sp.
Lineage: Bacteria; Pseudomonadati; Thermodesulfobacteriota; Desulfuromonadia; Geobacterales; Geobacteraceae
Description: bacterial SSU rRNA
Rfam family: Bacterial small subunit ribosomal RNA
Source: RNAcentral